This is a small RNA of Prevotella sp. CAG:485, 192 nucleotides long. It matches the Rfam family "Bacteroidales-1 6S-Bacteroidales RNA suggested". Lineage: Bacteria; Pseudomonadati; Bacteroidota; Bacteroidia; Bacteroidales; Prevotellaceae. The record is from Rfam.
AACCACUCCAAAUCCGACUGGGAAACUCAUCAAUUAUACUGAAAUACCGAGACAAGCAUGCUCAGCUAAUGGCGGGCCUCAGGCUCCCGGAGGGAGUCUCGCUGUUAAAGCGACGGAGGAUUACAACGGCUGAGAGGCACUCAAAUCCUGUCAUUCGGAGUUUCAUCACCGUCCUUUGGAGUGGCCCUUUAA